This 253-nucleotide ribosomal RNA is filed under the name uncultured bacterium. Its description in RNAcentral is "partial 16S ribosomal RNA". It matches the Rfam family "Bacterial small subunit ribosomal RNA", at positions 524 to 776 of the family's 1533-position model. The record is from RNAcentral.
UACAGAGGCCUCAAGCGUUGUUCGGAAUUACUGGGCGUAAAGCGCAUGUAGGUGGGCAUGCAAGUCAGAUGUGAAAGCCCUGGGCUUAACCCGGGAAGUGCGUCUGAUACUGCAUAUCUGGAGUGCGAGAGAGGAGACUGGAAUUCCUAGUGUAGGGGUGAAAUCCGUAGAUAUUAGGAGGAAUACCGAUGGCGAAGACAGGUCUCUGGCUCGUAACUGACGCUGAGAUGCGAAAGCGUGGGUAGCAAACAGG